UACGUAGGGGGCUAGCGUUGUCCGGAAUUAUUGGGCGUAAAGCGCGUGUAGGCGGUCCGGUAAGUCCGCUGUGAAAGUCGGGGGCUCAACCCUCGGAUGCCGGUGGAUACUGUCGGGCUUGAGUACGGAAGAGGCGAGUGGAAUUCCUGGUGUAGCGGUGAAAUGCGCAGAUAUCAGGAGGAACACCAAUUGCGAAGGCAGCUCGCUGGGACGUUACUGACGCUGAGACGCGAAAGCGUGGGGAGCGAACAGG
RNAcentral lists this ribosomal RNA (253 nucleotides) under uncultured bacterium. Its description in RNAcentral is "partial 16S ribosomal RNA". It matches the Rfam family "Bacterial small subunit ribosomal RNA", at positions 524 to 776 of the family's 1533-position model. The record is from RNAcentral.